AGUAGAUGACUAAGGCUUGCUAGAGCUCAGAGGAUAAGGUUUAAACCCUUUCCUCUCUUUCUCUCUCUAGGAUUACUAUGUUGAAGCAAGGAUUGAUAGAUUUGAGCUUAGUUAAUCCUUCUUUUUGGUGCUUGCUGGUUUGAGUGACUUGGAGCAGCUGUGGGAAGGUGAGAAGGAAUCUUGAGAAAGGUAUUUUCGCAGCCCUAACUCAGUAGGAAACUAAGUUGAAGUUUGAUAAGGUGAGAUACACAACUUCUCUCAAGUUAUUAGCCAUAGUAGUGAAGUUGAUGAUAAUUUGGGUUUCUUGUUGCGAGCUUGUUUGAGGGGAGGUCCCAGCAGCUGAAAAAGCAGAGUUGGGCUGUAGUUCUUCAACCCUAAACCAGAGAAAAAGCUAAAGUGAAGCUUGAAAGCAGCCUUGGAAUUUAUUUUGAACUGAAUAUUGGGACUCUUAUGAGCUGAUUUAAUUUGAGGUGUUUCAAUCAGGGGUUGAGCUGAACUAAACUUAUUGGAAGAUUCGCAGCAGAGAAUUAGACCCUUUUGGGCUGAGCUUGUGGUCAUCAAAGAUUGUAGCAGGUUCACAGUGGACCACUUGAUCUUUUCGAGUUAAUUUGGGAAGCUUUCAAAGGUUGGAAUUGGUGUUCUACCUUGAUCCGAAGUGAGGGUUCAAGUAUUAACACUCUACUAGGGUACUUGGAAGCUGCGGAUUACCCUUGUUCGUGGGGUCGACAUGAGUUGACGACUACUUGUAGUUUGCAUGCCAUUGUGCUCUUUCGCACACGCUUGUAGGGGUCGCGCACCCUAAGCCAGCGCUCCGGAGUGGCUUAGUGACAGAUUGCUCGCAUAUGUACGAUUUGAGCGUCGAAGUGGAUUGCCAUGGGUAGUGUUGACUUCCACGGGGCCACUAGGCACGGCGCGGCUAUGACUUUAUCCUGUAGCCUUCCACAGCGGAAAAGACUAGAAAUUCCUGGCGAGGGGUCAGCGGCUAAUUAGAACCUUCUCGAUGUUAUAUAGAUGAACCUCUACUAGUUUAUUUUGAGUUUAGCUCAAUGUUGUAUGUUGGAUUUAUGUAGAAUGCAUUUUACUUUUAAAUUGUAAUAAGGUUUUGUUUUGUAUGAGUUUACUAUAUUAGUAAGUUAUGCUCUGAUUACCUAGUUAGAA
Ananas comosus (pineapple) is the source of this 1158-nucleotide long non-coding RNA. RefSeq lists it as uncharacterized. The record is from RefSeq and is a predicted model, not a curated record. Lineage: Eukaryota; Viridiplantae; Streptophyta; Magnoliopsida; Poales; Bromeliaceae. The transcript is spliced from 7 exons.